Molecule: unclassified non-coding RNA, 346 nt
Filed under: soil metagenome
Description: partial contains 5.8S ribosomal RNA, internal transcribed spacer 2, and large subunit ribosomal RNA
Rfam family: 5.8S ribosomal RNA (bases 1-120)
Source: RNAcentral
GAUGAAGAACGCAGCGAAAUGCGAUAAGUAAUGUGAAUUGCAGAAUUCCGUGAAUCAUCGAAUCUUUGAACGCACAUUGCGCCCUCUGGUAUUCCGGGGGGCAUGCCUGUCCGAGCGUCAUUUGCAACCCUCAAGCCCGGCUUGUGUGAUGGGUGCCGUCCCCUACGGGACGCGCCCCGAAGGCAAUGGCGGCGUCGCGGUUAUCCGAUCAGCCAAAGUGUAUGGGGCUUUGUCACUCACUUUACGGCCCGGACCGGCGCCAGUCCGAAUCAAUCUUUUUUCUAAAGUUGACCUCGGAUCAGGUAGGGAUACCCGCUGAACUUAAGCAUAUCAAUAAGCGGGAGGA